AAAGACUUGGUCAUAUCUUGAGACUUGAAUGAAAUUAAACUAUAUGUUGGAACAAAAUUAAACCUAACACCCAAAAUAUCUAUUUCAUAGUAUCAUCUAGUUAAUAUUUAAUCUAGUUAUAUAGUUUGAGUUAGCGGGUUUUUAAGACCUCUCAAUAGAGUUUCUCACAGUUAAAAAAAGUAAAAAUAAUAAAAAGGAAAGAGAGAGUGUAGAAAAUUUCUGAAACUCUUAGAUACUCUCUACAUCCCAUCAUGACAUUUUUCUCUUUUAUAUUGGUUCAAUUUUUUCAUUAAAAUAAAUUUUUUUAUCGUAUAAUCAAAUUAUAAUUAAAUU
Molecule: small RNA, 333 nt
Filed under: Arabidopsis thaliana (thale cress)
Lineage: Eukaryota; Viridiplantae; Streptophyta; Magnoliopsida; Brassicales; Brassicaceae
Description: ATSL282970
Source: RNAcentral